Molecule: ribosomal RNA, 468 nt
Filed under: uncultured bacterium
Lineage: Bacteria
Description: partial 16S ribosomal RNA
Rfam family: Bacterial small subunit ribosomal RNA
Source: RNAcentral
GACGAACGCUGGCGGCGUGCUUAACACAUGCCAGUCGAACGGAAAGGCCCUGCUUUUGUGGGGUGCUCGAGUGGCGAACGGGUGAGUAACACGUGAGUAACCUGCCCUUGACUUUGGGAUAACUUCAGGAAACUGGGGCUAAUACCGGAUAGGAGCUCCUGCUGCAUGGUGGGGGUUGGAAAGUUUCGGCGGUUGGGGAUGGACUCGCGGCUUAUCAGCUUGUUGGUGGGGUAGUGGCUUACCAAGGCUUUGACGGGUAGCCGGCCUGAGAGGGUGACCGGCCACAUUGGGACUGAGAUACGGCCCAGACUCCUACGGGAGGCAGUAGUGGGGAAUAUUGCACAAUGGGCGGAAGCCUGAUGCAGCAACGCCGCGUGCGGGAUGACGGCCUUCGGGUUGUAAACCGCUUUCGCCUGUGACGAAGCGUGAGUGACGGUAAUGGGUAAAGAAGCACCGGCUAACUACGUG